CCUACGGGUGGCUGCAGUGAGGAAUAUUGGUCAAUGGACGCAAGUCUGAACCAGCCAUGCCGCGUGCAGGAAGACGGCCCUAUGAGUUGUAAACUGCUUUUGUACGAGGGUAAACGCAGAUACGUGUAUCUGUCUGAAAGUAUCGUACGAAUAAGGAUUGGCUUACUCCGUGCCCGCAGCCGCGGUAAUUCGGAGGAUUGAAAGGUUUUCCGGAUUUAUUGGGUUUUAAGGGUGCGUAGGCGGUCGGAUAAGUUAGAGGUGAAAUCCCUGGGCUCAACUUCGGAAUUGCCUCUGAUACUGUUCGGCUAGAGAGUAGUUGCGGUAGGCGGAAUGUAUGGUGUAGCGGUGAAAUGCUUAGAGAUCAUACAGAACACCGAUUGCGAAGGCAGCUUACCAGGCUACUUCUGACGUUGAGGCACGAAAGCGUGGGGAGCAAACAGGAUUAGAUACCCGAGUAGUC
RNAcentral lists this ribosomal RNA (460 nucleotides) under uncultured bacterium. RNAcentral's name for it is "partial 16S ribosomal RNA". It matches the Rfam family "Bacterial small subunit ribosomal RNA", at positions 338 to 795 of the family's 1533-position model. The record is from RNAcentral.